This 253-nucleotide ribosomal RNA is filed under the name uncultured bacterium. RNAcentral describes it as "partial 16S ribosomal RNA". It matches the Rfam family "Bacterial small subunit ribosomal RNA", at positions 524 to 776 of the family's 1533-position model. The record is from RNAcentral.
GACAGAGGGUGCAAACGUUGUUCGGAAUUACUGGGCGUAAAGCGCGUGUAGGCGGCUAAGUAAGUCGGGCGUGAAAUCCCGCGGCUCAACCGUGGAAGUGCACUCGAAACUGCAUAGCUAGAGUCCUGGAGAGGAAGGUGGAAUGCUUGGUGUAGAGGUGAAAUUCGUAGAUAUCAAGCGGAACACCGGUGGCGAAGGCGGCCUUCUGGACCGGCACUGACGCUGAGGCGCGAAAGCGUGGGGAGCAAACAGG